Molecule: long non-coding RNA, 437 nt
Organism: Argiope bruennichi
Lineage: Eukaryota; Metazoa; Arthropoda; Arachnida; Araneae; Araneidae
Exons: 2
Source: RefSeq, a predicted model, not a curated record
UUGUUCUCACCUAAUCAUGUUCAAAUACGGAUACAAUCAUUCACAUGAUGCAGCAAAAUAAUGAGGUUGCUCCCUGUAGCAUAAAAGAAGAAAAUAUACUAUGAUAAUCACAUUUUCUGAACUGUAAUCACACGCAAAUAUGAACUCCUGCCUCUACAUGAUCGUCUUGGCAUUGGCCAUCGUAUUUCUUACAUUGCAUGCAGAAGCGACCGACGACUUGACUCGUGCUUCCAGGAUGACUAGGCAGAGCAACAAUGACCAGGUGGAGGUAGAUAUCUGCUUGUUGCAGCUGAAACUUCCAUUGUCUGCAUUGCUUCAGCUGCUCAAUUUACAGAAUUUGGGCUAGAUUUAUUUCUGUCAUAAAAAUCUUAAAUUUUGUAGAAUGUUCAGAUUUAUUUUUAUCGAUAUUUCACGAACAAUAAAAGUAUGUUGAAAAA